This 722-nucleotide ribosomal RNA is filed under the name uncultured Fusobacterium sp. RNAcentral describes it as "bacterial SSU rRNA". It matches the Rfam family "Bacterial small subunit ribosomal RNA", at positions 28 to 776 of the family's 1533-position model. Lineage: Bacteria; Fusobacteriati; Fusobacteriota; Fusobacteriia; Fusobacteriales; Fusobacteriaceae. The record is from RNAcentral.
GAUGAACGCUGACAGAAUGCUUAACACAUGCAAGUCAACUUGAACUUCGGUUUGGGUGGCGGACGGGUGAGUAACGCGUAAAGAACUUGCCUCACAGAUAGGGACAACAUUUGGAAACGAAUGCUAAUACCUGAUAUUAUGAUUUUAGGGCAUCCUAGGAUUAUGAAAGCUACAUGCGCUGUGAGAGAGCUUUGCGUCCCAUUAGCUAGUUGGAGAGGUAACGGCUCACCAAGGCGAUGAUGGGUAGCCGGCCUGAGAGGGUGAUCGGCCACAAGGGGACUGAGACACGGCCCUUACUCCUACGGGAGGCAGCAGUGGGGAAUAUUGGACAAUGGACCAAGAGUCUGAUCCAGCAAUUCUGUGUGCACGAUGAAGUUUUUCGGAAUGUAAAGUGCUUUCAGUUGGGAAGAAAAAAAUGACGGUACCAACAGAAGAAGUGACGGCUAAAUACGUGCCAGCAGCCGCGGUAAUACGUAUGUCACAAGCGUUAUCCGGAUUUAUUGGGCGUAAAGCGCGUCUAGGUGGUUAUGUAAGUCUGAUGUGAAAAUGCAGGGCUCAACUCUGUAUUGCGUUGGAAACUGUGUAACUAGAGUACUGGAGAGGUAAGCGGAACUACAAGUGUAGAGGUGAAAUUCGUAGAUAUUUGUAGGAAUGCCGAUGGGGAAGCCAGCUUACUGGACAGAUACUGACGCUGAAGCGCGAAAGCGUGGGUAGCAAACAGG